GGCGGACGGGUGAGUAAUGCUUGGGAAUCUGGCUUAUGGAGGGGGAUAACUACUGGAAACGGUAGCUAAUACCGCGUAAUAUCGAGAGAUUAAAGACUGGGACCUACGGGCCAGUUGCCAUAAGAUGAGCCCAAGUGGGAUUAGGUAGUUGGUGGGGUAAAGGCCUACCAAGCCCGCGAUCUCUAGCUGGUCUGAGAGGAUGACCAGCCACACUGGAACUGAGACACGGUCCACACUCCUACGGGAGGCAGCAGUGGGGAAUAUUGCACAAUGGGGGGAACCCUGAUGCAGCCAUGCCGCGUGAAUGAAGAAGGCCUUCGGGUUGUAAAGUUCUUUCGGUGGUGAGGAAGGUAUCAACUUUAAUAGAGUUGGUAAUUGACGUUAUCCACAGAAGAAGCACCGGCUAACUCCGUGCCAGCAGCCGCGGUAAUACGGAGGGUGCGAGCGUUAAUCGGAAUGACUGGGCGUAAAGGGCACGCAGGCGGAUUGUUAAGUGAGAUGUGAAAGCCCCGGGCUUAACCUGGGAAUUGCAUUUCAGACUGGCAAUCUAGAGUAUUUUAGGGGAGGGGUAGAAUUCCACGUGUAGCGGUGAAAUGCGUAGAGAUGUGGAGGAAUACCGAAGGCGAAGGCAGCCCCUUGGGAAUAUACUGACGCUCAUGUGCGAAAGCGUGGGGAGCAAACAGGAUUAGAUACCCUGGUAGUCCACGCU
RNAcentral lists this ribosomal RNA (709 nucleotides) under Frederiksenia canicola. RNAcentral's name for it is "bacterial SSU rRNA". It matches the Rfam family "Bacterial small subunit ribosomal RNA", at positions 97 to 801 of the family's 1533-position model. The record is from RNAcentral. Lineage: Bacteria; Pseudomonadati; Pseudomonadota; Gammaproteobacteria; Pasteurellales; Pasteurellaceae.